AAAAUUCCCCCCGGGGGCUUCAAACCCUGGGGAAACCUGGCAUUCUUGAAUAACUGGGCCAAAGCCUUGAAGUCCUCCGUAAGAAGGGGGGGUAGAAAUUUCCCAGGGUGUAGGCGGGUGAAAAUGCGGUAGGAGAAUCUUCAGGGGAAAUCCCGGGGGGGGGAGAGAGGCGGCCCCCCUGGGACGAAAGACUGACGCUCCAGGUGCGAAAAGCGUGGGGAGCAAAACAGGAUUAGAUACCCUGGUAGUCCCACGCCCGUAAACGAUGUCGACUUGGAGGUUGUGCCCUUGAGGCGUGGCUUCCGGAGCUAACGCGUUAAGUCGACCGCCUGGGGAGUACGGCCGCAAGGUUAAAACUCAAAUGAAUUGACGGGGGCCCGCACAAGCGGUGGAGCAUGUGGUUUAAUUCGAUGCAACGCGAAGAACCUUACCUGGUCUUGACAUCCACGGAAGUUUUCAGAGAUGAGAAUGUGCCUUCGGGAACCGUGAGACAGGUGCUGCAUGGCUGUCGUCAGCUCGUGUUGUGAAAUGUUGGGUUAAGUCCCGCAACGAGCGCAACCCUUAUCCUUUGUUGCCAGCGGUCCGGCCGGGAACUCAAAGGAGACUGCCAGUGAUAAACUGGAGGAAGGUGGGGAUGACGUCAAGUCAUCAUGGCCCUUACGACCAGGGCUACACACGUGCUACAAUGGCGCAUACAAAGAGAAGCGACCUCGCGAGAGCAAGCGGACCUCAUAAAGUGCGUCGUAGUCCGGAUUGGAGUCUGCAACUCGACUCCAUGAAGUCGGAAUCGCUAGUAAUCGUGGAUC
This 806-nucleotide ribosomal RNA is filed under the name Escherichia coli. RNAcentral describes it as "bacterial SSU rRNA". It matches the Rfam family "Bacterial small subunit ribosomal RNA", at positions 1 to 1350 of the family's 1533-position model. Lineage: Bacteria; Pseudomonadati; Pseudomonadota; Gammaproteobacteria; Enterobacterales; Enterobacteriaceae. The record is from RNAcentral.